AGCAAUGGCGGCUCGUGGAGCCUCUCAAUAGUUCCCGGAAGUAGCGGCAAACCGAUGCCGCGCCGUAGAGAUGCAGCAGAACAAACCGUUUGCGACGCACUUUUAACAGGUGGAGGAUUAGUGGUGCCACUGAAGUGUUCUGUGAUGGAGCAUCAGUGAAGAUGCAGGUCAGGAGAGCUGAGGGGACCUUUUUUUUUUUGAUAGCUGAAUUUUCAUUAUUUUUCUUAGUGCUGCCUUUGCAUUGCUUGAUCUUUAUUUAUUUUUCUUGUCUCUUAAAUUUUUUUAAUAGACCCUGGUAACUGGCUGAUGGUUCACAGGAAUGCUGACUGGCUGCUGACUGACUUGCUGCUGGUUGACUGGGCAGUGUCACCUGUCCCUGUCUCUCCUCUCUAGCCAUGUCCUUUUUCUUCACUCUCACUUUCCUUUCUCUGAGUGUCCUCGUUCUUUUUUCCUCAACCUUUGAAACUGAUAGAGGUAGAAUACAUGGUUUUGCUAAUUUAAAAUAUUGAAAAUAUCACAUCACUUUACUUCAACUAGUACGAGUUUGUACUUAUUAUAUAUGAAUCACCUGAAAUAACAUAGCUGUAAUCAGCAGCCAUUUCUUGUAUGUUCACAGGUCUAGGGGGUGCAUCGUGGAGCAGGGCCCUCCUCUUUUUGACCACAGGACGAUGUACAAAGAUUGUGGGAAUAGCAUCUGGUCUCAGCCUACUCUUGAAUUUUUUGGUCAUGACAAAUUGCAUUGCCGCAAUUUGUCUGCAUACUGACUUCAGUUUAGUUUCCACACACACCUUUUUUUUUGUCUACCCACUUACAGUACAUAUCACAUGGUGGUUAAAUGCACAGUUAUAGGUAACACUGAUGACUCCCUGCAAUGUCUCACCAUGAGUCUCAGCUCCCUGGGUUUUGCAAGGCUUUGCUUGUUCCUUAUUUCUAGUAAAACAUUGUCAAUGUAAAAAAGUGCAAAUAAAUCGGGGAAGCCAUACAUUCGCACACCUUUCUCUGACUGAGUGGAGCAUCCCCAUGCAGCACAGUAAACCACGGUGGAGACUAUGCAAGGACAACAUGAAAGAAAGGACACAUACAAAAUGCUUGUCAUGCUAUGAAAUUUAUUAGAAAUGUAUUCAUGAAUUGCUGUAAAUAGUUAAUUGUAUAAUUACAAUUUAAAAUAACUGUUUUCUAUUUUAAAAUGGAAUAUACUCCUGUGAUGCCAACCUGAAUUUUCAGCAUAAUUUUGAAUGGCAGUGUACAUGUUUAUAUACGAGCAUGCUUAAGUUGUUUUAAACCUGAAUAUAUUGUGUACAUGAAUAAGUAUUGUAAGAAUUAUACUAGAUAUAAUAGGUAUAUUAUUUAUAAUACAUAAUUAUAUUACUAUAUGUAAUUGUAAGAAUUAUAAACAGUAAGCUUCAUUUUACAUUUAUUUAACAUGCUAAUUACUGCUGGUAACAGUUAAUUGACCCAUAGUGCGGUGCGAGCUGAAAAUCACCUGUCACCAGCCUGUCUCUGUACUACCUGAAAGUCAUCGAUAUGACAUGAGUUAACAUUAGAUCAGUGAAAAAAUGGACAAUAUGUAACGUAAAAAGGCAACAGCAACCCGUGUUUAUAAAACUUAACGUUAGCCUGAAAUACGUUUUUAAAAUAACGGUAAUUGAACACUAAUCCUCAAAUAAUACCCGAUUUGAUAUUUUAAAAACAACAUCGCUGUAACUACAUACUCAUGCUACAUACAUAAGUCAGUGUGUUGUAUAAACAUAUAAAAUAAAUGCAUUUAUUGACUCCUUAUUACCAGAAAUCGCAGUUCUGUCACUCUACUCUAUCAGUUUGAAUGGCCGCCAAUGCACUUCCUGGAACUAUUUGAAGUCUACACGAAUCACGUGACAACCAAACAUUUCGAACUUCCGUUGUCGCAACUCUCUCUCUAUA
Molecule: long non-coding RNA, 1920 nt
Organism: Carassius gibelio (silver crucian carp)
Lineage: Eukaryota; Metazoa; Chordata; Actinopteri; Cypriniformes; Cyprinidae
Exons: 3
Source: RefSeq, a predicted model, not a curated record